RNAcentral lists this ribosomal RNA (489 nucleotides) under uncultured bacterium. RNAcentral's name for it is "bacterial SSU rRNA". It matches the Rfam family "Bacterial small subunit ribosomal RNA", at positions 21 to 507 of the family's 1533-position model. The record is from RNAcentral.
GGCUCAGGAUGAACGGCUGGCGGCGUGCUUAACACAUGCAAGUCGAACGAAGCACUUAAGACAGAUCUUUCGGGAUGAAGACUUUUGUGACUGAGUGGCGGACGGGUGAGUAACGCGUGGGUAACCUGCCUCACACAGGGGGAUAACAGUUGGAAACGGCUGCUAAUACCGCAUAAGCGCACAGUACCGCAUGGUACAGUGUGAAAAACUCCGGUGGUAUAAGAUGGACCCGCGUCUGAUUAGCUUGUUGGUGAGGUAACGGCCCACCAAGGCGACGAUCAGUAGCCGGCCUGAGAGGGUGAACGGCCACAUUGGGACUGAGACACGGCCCAAAACUCCUACGGGAGGCAGCAGUGGGGAAUAUUGCACAAUGGGGGAAACCCUGAUGCAGCGACGCCGCGUGAGUGAUGAAGUAUUUCGGUAUGUAAAACUCUAUCAGCAGGGAAGAUAAUGACGGUACCUGACUAAGAAGCACCGGCUAAAUACGUG